RNAcentral lists this ribosomal RNA (253 nucleotides) under uncultured microorganism. RNAcentral's name for it is "partial 16S ribosomal RNA". It matches the Rfam family "Bacterial small subunit ribosomal RNA", at positions 524 to 776 of the family's 1533-position model. The record is from RNAcentral.
GACAGAGGUGGCAAGCGUUGCUCGGAUUCACUGGGCUUGAAGGGCGCGUAGGCGGCUUUGUAAGUCCGAGGUGGAAUUCCACAGCUUAACUGUGGAACUGCCUUGGAAACUGCAAGGCUUGAGUCAGGUAGAGGGAGGCGGAAUUCCCGGUGUAGCGGUGAAAUGCGUAGAUAUCGGGAGGAAGGCCGGUGGCGAAGGCGGCCUCCUGGGCCUGUACUGACGCUCAUGCACGAAAGCGUGGGGAGCAAACAGG